Molecule: non-coding RNA, 1298 nt
Organism: Corylus avellana
Lineage: Eukaryota; Viridiplantae; Streptophyta; Magnoliopsida; Fagales; Betulaceae
Source: RefSeq, a predicted model, not a curated record
AGCUGGCCAAAUUAUCAAGAUGCGUUGGUGAUAACCAGGCUGGGCAAUCAUUUAUUUCGUACAUUACUGCAAAGAUUCUUGAAAGUAUCCAAGUCUCCAUCAGAAAUCUGCAUGUCAUAUACUGUGACAGGUGAAGCGAAUCAGAGAGUGAGGGAGAGUGCAGAGAGCUAGAGAGAGAGAGAGAGAGAGAGAGACUGACAACAUGAGUGAAAGUGAGAAACAAAUGAGACAGAGAGAGAGAAGCGAUUCAAAGUGGGUCGUCCGACCGAAGGGCCUGGUGUCAGCAUGUAUAGCGGAACAACGCCAGCACCGUCAAUUUCCAAGCCCAUAAACGUGUGGGUAGAUAUACCCCCGAUGCAAUAUACAUGAAGCAGUACAGAAGAAUGUGGCAUUCAAAUAUCUAACAGAGAAGAGGUUUGUCAAGCUGGAUUGAGAUUUUUUCCUGCGCAUUUAGUUGAGUCAAUGUUGAGCUUGAAUUCCGAAAGUGAUCAAGGCAACAUUGGGUCCACUCUGUACAGCAUCGAUGAGCUGGUGAUGAAGGAUAUACAACUUUUAGAUUCUAUUGCAGAAAAACAAGCUCAAAUAUUCUCCAAGGAGUGCAAGUUGUUCCCUGCAGAUGUUAAAUUUCAAUCAUUAUAUCCACUUCUGCAGGGCAAGGUGAGCUGCUUGAUGAUCAAUGAUAUUGAUGCUGGCCUUGGUAGAUUAGCAAGGAACUCAAAUGACUGUCAACAAUAAAAUUGUUGUUGGAACUCUGAUGAAUCUGUCAGAUAAUCCUACAAGAGUGAGUAUUGGACAAGAUUGGCGAGAAUCAUAUGUCACAAAUAGAAUUCCUAUCAUUGUUACUAGAAAUGAUCUUUCAACUAUUUACGCUCCCUUGAUUCGUGAUGGAAGAAUGGAAAAGUUCUACUGAAACUACAGGUUUUGUGCAAUAAGCUUAUCACUCAGAGAGUCCUCAAACUCCAACUUAUCACUCAUAUUCUUCUCUUUAAAGAACUUCCUAAAUUUCUUGGCCAAUAAGGUUUCUGCCUCUUCAUGAGAAGAAUCCUCAUCGGAGGACUCAACAAUCUCCUCACCCAGAUUGUAACUUGAAUUCACUAUAUCGUUUAAAAAGGUACAAGGAUUUCUAGUCUCAAAACUGGAACCGCUGGUAGCAAAGGUGGGUGAUUUUGAUAGCUGUCAAAAAUAAGAUUUUUUAUUUUAUUUUCCUGAUGUAAUGAAAAAUGGGACGCUAUAGAUAUUGUGGAUAACAUAUUAUGUACUGAAAUUGCUUGUAUCUAAACCCUUUUCAUAUUUAUUUU